This 468-nucleotide ribosomal RNA is filed under the name uncultured bacterium. Its description in RNAcentral is "partial 16S ribosomal RNA". It matches the Rfam family "Bacterial small subunit ribosomal RNA", at positions 28 to 507 of the family's 1533-position model. The record is from RNAcentral.
GACGAACGCUGGCGGCGUGCUUAACACAUGCAAGUCGAACGGAAAGGCCAUGCGUUUGUGGGGUGCUCGAGUGGCGAACGGGGGAGUAACACGUGAGGAACCUGUCCCUGUCUUUGGGAUAACUUCAGGGAACUGGGGCGAAUACCGGAGAGGAGCUCUUGCUGCAUGGUGGGGGUUGGAAAGUUUCGGCGGUUGGGGAUGGAAUCGCGGCUUAUCAGCUUGUUGGUGGGGUAGUGGCUUACCAAGGCUUUGACGGGUAGCCGGCCUGAGAGGGUGGCCGGCCACAUUGCGACUGCGAUACGGCCCAGACUCCUACGGGACGCAGCGGUGGGGAAUAUUGCACAAUAAGCGGACGCCUGAUGCGGCAACGCCGCGUGCGGGAUGACGGCCUUCGAGUUGUAAACCGCUUUCGCCUGUGACGAAGCGUGCGUGACGGUAAUGGGUCAAGAAGCACCGGCUAACUACGUG